RNAcentral lists this long non-coding RNA (778 nucleotides) under Olea europaea subsp. europaea. The record is from RNAcentral. Lineage: Eukaryota; Viridiplantae; Streptophyta; Magnoliopsida; Lamiales; Oleaceae.
CUUUUUUUGGAAUGGUUUGUUCAUUUUGUGAGGCUCAUGAGAUCAAUAUUCCAAAUAUGGAUGAUAUAUUCAUAAUUGUAGGUCGUUCACGACGUCCCACAGUGACAAAUUUACAUCACUAUCGUGUCGAAACGUUUUAUGCCAUCAUUGAUAUGUAACGUCAAGAAUUGAAUAUUCAUUUUUCUGAGGUGAAUAGUGAUUUACUUCUUUGUAUUGCGUGUUUGUGUCCAAAUAAUUAAUUUGCUGCUUUUGACAAGAACAAAUUGAUUCGACUAUGUGGGUAUUAUCCAGCAGAUUUUGGCACAACAGAUAUCUCAGAACUUGAUGAUCAAUUAGAUACAUAUAUUCUUGACAUGCACAUUGAUGAAGAAUUUGAAGGAUUACAAGGUCUUGGUGGUCUAGCACAAAAAUUGUUUGCGAAAAAUAAGCAUGAAGUGUAUCCAUUAGUUUUCAAGCUUGUGACAUUAGCCUUAGUUCUUCCCGAGGCUACUACUACAGUCGAGAGAGCAUUUUUUGUGAUGACUUACAUAAAAAAUCGUUUGCGCAAUCGAAUUGGAGAUCAAUGGCUGAAUGAUAGUUUGGUUGCAUCUAUUGAGAAGGAUGUGCUUGACAGUAUCAAAAAUGAUGUAAUAAUGGAACGUUAUCAAAAUAUGAAAACUCGCAGAGAACAAUUGUAAUAAAAUAUCGAAUAGAUAAAUUUUUUUCGUAACUUUUUGUACAAGUUAUAUUGUGCCUCACUAACUCCUUAUGUUUGUGUCUGCCACUGAUCCAAGGAUGC